Hippoglossus stenolepis (Pacific halibut) is the source of this 3005-nucleotide RNA transcript. It is a transcript of the gene named zwilling, with no coding region annotated. The record is from RefSeq and is a predicted model, not a curated record. The transcript has 2 exons. Lineage: Eukaryota; Metazoa; Chordata; Actinopteri; Pleuronectiformes; Pleuronectidae.
ACAGGACCCCUGAAGCCAGGGCUAAGGCACCCAAAGCAUCCAAACAGUCCAAACAAGGCUUUAACAAUGAGUGGAAAUCCACAUUCUCAUCAAGCAAGACCUCCUUCACCAAAGGCAGGGUUUCGAUCCUGAGGAAUAAGUACGCCAUCUCCUGGGGCAAAUCCUCGAUCUCCUGGAGCAGAACCACAGUAAUUUUGGGCAACGCCGGCAUAGCAGUGGGCAAAACAUCUGUCACACGAGGGGAGACCACGAGCUCACUCACCACUCUGACACUCACUCAUGGGACCAAGUCUGUGUCUGUGGUCAAAACCACCCUCAUCAGGGGCAAAGAAACGCACAGCAACGUCUACUGGAAUUUUCACACAUGAAUCCUGCACACACUUAAAAAGCCAAGGAUAUGUCUGUCUGGUCAGUUUUAGCAGUCUUGGCAUAAUCAGCAGGAUCAGAUGACACAGGCAGACUCCUCACUGGCUGCAGCAUUGUGUAACACCGGCCGGUGCUGUGUUGAUCGUCCUGGACGGUUGCAGGGAGAAGUUCUGUGUCCUGGAUUCGUCCCAAAACACCCAUGAGAGAGAAAGAAAGCUUUGUUCUCUGAUGGACAUUAAGAUAAGAAUAAUAAUCUGGGCCAAAUCCAAAUAGAGUAAAAGAUGUAAACAUUUGAAAACUACAGCAGGGUGUGUCCCUAUCACUCUCUCACCCAUCCCCUCUGUGAACAAGUGUCAAGGAAAAGUGUUUUGUGGUCAGAGGAGGUGCAGAGGGAUCAGGGUGAACGUUGGACAGUGAGGGCGUCGGUCGGAGAAGAGUGUAAAUCAGAUGGUUUGAGCAUGACAGGGGGGGGUAAAGUGAGGAAUACCAGGGUGCUACUGAUGGUGAGAGGGCAGGCUGAUCUCCUGAUGAGAGACCUUAAGUCAAAUCUAGAGAAAUCUCUGCUGUAAUUUCACACACUUGACAGUGUCAUAAAUCAGGGACAAGGCAAAGAAACGUUACAGAAAUUGAACUAGAAAUCACAAUUAUUCCAAGACAUAACGAUUUGUAUUAUUUCUUCAAAAGUAAGAGGUGGUGAGUGUCACGUAAUGAUGCUACCGCCACACGUUACUACUCCUCGGAUUAAAAAACAAAGAGCUACCCACUUGCAGAAGCAUGUCCAGCUGAUGUGAAUAUGUAUAAGUGUUUACUAGAGAACAGAACGUUUUAUUCUCUCCUCUCGAGCAACUCCCCCACCCGCCACUAGAGCUCAGGACGUAGCUCAUCGAACCUCCUCUCCCUCCCUUGUUGCUUUUGUUUACAGGAAGCAGCUCGAGGGCCGACACCUCACGUCAGAUCUGUCCAGUCUCACUCAUCUUUAUCUAUGUUUUCUUAGGUUCACGUCAACAAGGAUGACAGCGCGGCAGCUCUUAGCCAGACUGAAGCAACAAAACCAGUGCAUUUCAAACAUCAGAGUGCAGCAUGAGGCCUGUAACACAAACCGUCCUGUGACCGCCUGUCGACUCCGCCAUGUUCCAUUCAGCUCAGAUAUAAACAAAGUUCAGCUUUAGCUGCAUGAAAAAUUCCCACCGGCUACAGAAAGGCUCAACCCUGUUGCCAUGUUAAGAUGGAACCUGUUGCUAGUGGCAACAGCACAGUCGACACAGCUGUCACUGUGGUUUAAUAAAUAUCUCCAAGUCUCUUUACUCUAAAAAGCCAUUCAAAAUAUAUUCCUUUUGAAUUUUUGGGUGUUGUCCGAUAUUCAUGUGUCAUCUUCAUCGUGAAGCCUGACCCCAGCCUCUGCAGGAUGAUACAUAGGAUAUGCACGUAGGAUUUAAAAUCAUUUGGAUGAACUCAAGUUGUAAGAUUUUCUUUUUUUCUGCCAUUAUUAUUUGAAUGAUGAGUCCUGGUUUCAGUCUAUUUACAGACGACCUGUUGUAACGCCUCCGAGCCCCUGACUCAGGCCUCAUCCAGAAACUGUUCCCUGUGGUGGUGCCAACAUUUGAUCAGGUUUUCCUUUGUUAUACUCACUCGUCUAUUGCUGUACAUAUGUGUCUCUAUUUCAAAUGAGUCGUAAAAAACACUGUAAACAAGGUAAUGAAACCCAGAGUAGAUAUAAAGCAGACUUUCUGCACAAGAUCGAGUAAAAUUCACUUGUCUGUCUGUUAUGUGAUCACGAGUGACGGACAGUGUUGAGGAACAUGAGACAACAGCAUGUGACAAAUUAACAGACAAAGACGUCCCUCAAAAUGUCAUAACUUCCUCAAAUGAACUGUUGGGAAUUGAAAAUGUUAAUCUGUGUGUUCUGAUUGUAUGUUAAACAUGUAUGAGGGGGGGGAAGUUCCGAUUUUAUAUAUACACAGAUGUAUAAGGGGAAAUAAAAGCUUGGCGUACUUGGUGUACUAAUGAAGCACUAACGUCAGCUUAGCUACUGUCGCCAGGCAGCCAAUGCAGCUGUGGCAGCAGCUGACGUGUCAGUCGGCACGGCAGCGCCUGGAUCCUGUGUCCUGCAUCCUGCCCCAGCCAGAGGGUCACUGCUGAUUCAGAGUCUCUCUCCUAUUUCACUGCACGUUCACAACAAACCUAUGACUACUUGAAUGAACUCUGACCAGAACGGCAUCAAGAAGAAGAACAUUAAAAGAAAAAAAAAAUAGGUCAGAAACGUCAUGAAGGAUGAGACAGGCAGCGACACUGACACGCCUGGAAGAAUAUUACCCGCGAUGUGAAGCUAAUCAAUAUCAUGUGAAAUGAAAGAAACUGUGUAGUAAGUGUUACUGACGGAAAGCUGUUUGAGAUUUAUUUCUGUCUUGUCCGAUGUUUGUCCUUAAAAUGCUUAAAAUGAUUAAAUCUGUCUUAGCACAUUCAGGUCUGACUGAAAACAACACUAAUUUCUCUGUGUUGUGAGUCCACUGUGAGAACUUCUCUUCUGUUGCAAGUAUACACUCUGUGUGGUGGUGUUGUUGUGUGUUUUUGCUUCACUGCACGUGUCACUAAAAUACAGUUGGACAGAAAGAGUCCUGGAAUAAAAAUGCUUGAUUGUG